GGGUUGACUAUUUCAUCUUAAAUCAGCCAUAAAUCCCCUUGUGACAGGAGGAAUGGAAGCUUGUUGUGUGCAACAGAGUAGUAAUUGAAUACAAGCUUCACAUUUGUACUUUUUGUUAAAACAUUUCUAGCCUGUCUAAGGGUGACAGGGUUGAUGUGUUGUGCUUGACCCACUCAAUUUUCCACCACAAAAAAAACCUGAAAAUGACAGAAAAGAGUAGAACCAAUUCAACUGCUUUUACACUGUAUUGACUUAAAUGUUCAAUGUUUCUAUUGAAAAAAAAGAAAAGUUUCAUAUUAAAACGAGAGUUCAGUUCACGUAACAGGGUUGACCUUAAAAUGCAGGACAGAUGUAAAUUAAUCACCAAUCACAUUAAAUACACUGCUCAAAAAAAUUAAGGGAACACUAACAUAACACAUCCUAGAUCUGAAUGAAUGAAAUAUUCUUAUUAAAUACUUUUUUCUUUACAUAGUUGAGUGUGCUGACAACAAAAUCACACAAAUUAUCAAUGGAAAUCAAAUUUAUCAACCCAUGGAGGUCUGGAUUUGGAGUCGCACUCAAAAUUCAAGUGGAAAACCACACUACAGACUGAUCCAACUAUGAUGUAAUGUCCUUAAAACAAGUCAAAAGGCUCAGUAGUGUGUGUAUGUUAAUGUUUUUACACAACAUCCUUUUUAAGGUAAUCCACAAAGUAAUCAAGUUUUUUUUUAAAGUAUCUGUAAUCUGAUUACAACAUUUUUGCCGGUAACGUAACUGAUUACAGUUAAUUUUAAAAAGUCACUCCCCAACCCUGUGUCUCAGUAUCCCUCGAAUGCUGCAUAAAAGGUUUACAUGUGUCAUCUGUUUUCUGAGAACAGAACAAAAACAGAAGUCUCUGCCAAUUGAUUCUUAUUGGUCCUACUGACCUUUGGCAGUCAGAUUUGCCUCUAUUAUAAUAAUAUUAUUUUUUUUCAGUAAAAAGUGGAAAAUUUUACUUUGAUGUGGACAUUGAAAGUUGGGUCCUUCCAUGUGUUGAAAUGGUCAUAAAUCCUGUUGUCCACUGAACUUCAGCUGUCAUUCCCUCUGCCUUGCUAUCUAAAGCAUGUUCAACAAUCCACUUUAAUGCCAACAGUAUAGUAGUAGGAACUACAACAAACCAAGAUGGAUGGUACAAUCAAGCGUGAACUGAAUGGAAAGCUUGAGUUGGGACUCCUUUUGGAGUUGGAGAUUUUGAAAAAAGGCAAAAAACAAAGUUAUUUAAAGCAGUUGCUUGUGUUUUAACUGUGAAUAAUAAAAUAAAAUCAUCUUCAAUGUUUUGCACUACAGAUCCUCUUAAUGUUUUUCUUUUUCAUUAAAUGUUCUAUAAUCAUAAAA
Molecule: long non-coding RNA, 1353 nt
Organism: Oncorhynchus tshawytscha (Chinook salmon)
Lineage: Eukaryota; Metazoa; Chordata; Actinopteri; Salmoniformes; Salmonidae
Source: Ensembl